RNAcentral lists this ribosomal RNA (253 nucleotides) under uncultured bacterium. RNAcentral describes it as "partial 16S ribosomal RNA". It matches the Rfam family "Bacterial small subunit ribosomal RNA", at positions 524 to 776 of the family's 1533-position model. The record is from RNAcentral.
UACGUGGGGUGCAAGCGUUGUUCGGAAUUACUGGGCGUAAAGCGCGCGUAGGCGGUUACUCAAGUCGGAUGUGAAAGCCCUCGGCUUAACUGAGGAAGUGCACCCGAAACUGAGUAGCUAGAGUACUAAAGAGGGUCGCGGAAUUCCCGGUGUAGAGGUGAAAUUCGUAGAUAUCGGGAGGAACACCGGUGGCGAAGGCGGCGACCUGGGUAGAUACUGACGCUGAGGCGCGAAAGCGUGGGGAGCAAACAGG